UACGUAGGUGGCAAGCGUUGUCCGGAUUUACUGGGCGUAAAGCGCGCGCAGGCGGAUUGGUCAGUCCGGGGUGAAAUCUCACGGCUCAACUGUGAGCGGUCCCCGGAUACUGCCAGUCUCGAGGUGUCUAGAGGAGAGCGGAAUUCCCGGUGUAGUGGUGGAAUUCGUAGAUAUCGGGAAGAACACCAGUGGCGAAAGCGGCUCUCUGGGGACCACCUGACGCUGAGGCGCGAAAGCGUGGGGAGCGAACAGG
This 253-nucleotide ribosomal RNA is filed under the name uncultured bacterium. RNAcentral describes it as "partial 16S ribosomal RNA". It matches the Rfam family "Bacterial small subunit ribosomal RNA", at positions 524 to 776 of the family's 1533-position model. The record is from RNAcentral.